AUGAACGCUGGCGGCGUGCCUAAUACAUGCAAGUCGAGCGAACGGACGAGAAGCUUGCUUCUCUGAUGUUAGCGGCGGACGGGUGAGUAACACGUGGAUAACCUACCUAUAAGACUGGGAUAACUUCGGGAAACCGGAGCUAAUACCGGAUGAUAUUUUGAACCGCAUGGUUCAAAAGUGAAAGACGGUCUUGCUGUCACUUAUAGAUGGAUCCGCGCUGCAUUAGCUAGUUGGUAAGGUAACGGCUUACCAAGGCAACGAUGCAUAGCCGACCUGAGAGGGUGAUCGGCCACACUGGAACUGGGACACGGUCCAGAGGCCUAAGGGAGGGAGCAGUAGGGAAUCUUCCGCAAUGGGCGAAAGCCUGACGGAGCAACGCCGCGUGAGUGAUGAAGGUCUUCGGAUCGGAAAACUCUGUUAUUAGGGAAGAACAUAUGUGUAAGGAACUGUGCACAUCUUGACGGUACCUAAUCAGAAAGCCACGGCUAACUACGUG
Molecule: ribosomal RNA, 496 nt
Filed under: uncultured bacterium
Lineage: Bacteria
Description: partial 16S ribosomal RNA
Rfam family: Bacterial small subunit ribosomal RNA
Source: RNAcentral